UGGGUGGGGGGAAAUUGGGUUGAUCAGCUGAAUGACCUCAAUGUCAUCCUAUUAUGAAUUUCAGUAAGCAAUACUUCUGAAUUGUCAAUUUUAUCAGCCGAAUGUAAUUGUGUGUGUGUGUGUAUGUGUGUGUGUGUUAGAGUAGGUAUUGGGAAUCUCAGACAACCUACACUUUCCUCUUUCUCCCCAA
Molecule: small RNA, 190 nt
Filed under: Marmota monax (woodchuck)
Lineage: Eukaryota; Metazoa; Chordata; Mammalia; Rodentia; Sciuridae
Source: RNAcentral